GGUAAGAUGGCCGAGUGGUUAAGGCGGCAGAUUUAAGCUAGAGCUGAUCCCUGCUGACGUUGUCACCUGGGUUCGAACCCCAGUCUUACCA
This is a transfer RNA of 91 nucleotides. It matches the Rfam family "tRNA". From Rfam's summary of the family: Transfer RNA (tRNA) molecules are approximately 80 nucleotides in length. The record is from Rfam.